UACGAAGGGGGCUAGCGUUGUUCGGAAUUACUGGGCGUAAAGCGCGCGCAGGCGGGUCAUCAAGUCAGGGGUGAAAGCCCAGAGCUCAACUCUGGAACUGCCCUUGAAACUGGUGACCUUGAGUACGGGAGAGGUGAGUGGAAUUCCCAGUGUAGAGGUGAAAUUCGUAGAUAUUCGGUGGAACACCAGUGGCGAAGGCGACUCGCUGGACUGAUACUGACGCUGAGGUGCGAAAGCGUGGGGAGCAAACAGG
Molecule: ribosomal RNA, 253 nt
Filed under: uncultured bacterium
Lineage: Bacteria
Description: partial 16S ribosomal RNA
Rfam family: Bacterial small subunit ribosomal RNA
Source: RNAcentral